GCGGGCGUGGCGAAAUGGUAGACGCACGGGACUUAAAAUCCCUUGGGCUUAGCCCGUGCCGGUUCGAGUCCGGCCGCCCGUA
Molecule: non-coding RNA, 82 nt
Organism: Thioclava pacifica DSM 10166
Lineage: Bacteria; Pseudomonadati; Pseudomonadota; Alphaproteobacteria; Rhodobacterales; Paracoccaceae
Source: Rfam